GGUUCAUUAGCUCAGAUUGUAGAGCACCUGACUUUUAAUCAGGGUGUCCCGGGUUCGAGUCCCGGAUGAGCCACCA
Molecule: transfer RNA, 76 nt
Filed under: Finegoldia magna
Lineage: Bacteria; Bacillati; Bacillota; Tissierellia; Tissierellales; Peptoniphilaceae
Description: tRNA-Lys
Rfam family: tRNA
About the family: Transfer RNA (tRNA) molecules are approximately 80 nucleotides in length. Their secondary structure includes four short double-helical elements and three loops (D, anti-codon, and T loops).
Source: RNAcentral